This is a long non-coding RNA of Bos taurus (domestic cattle), 305 nucleotides long. Lineage: Eukaryota; Metazoa; Chordata; Mammalia; Artiodactyla; Bovidae. The record is from Ensembl.
GGUGGUCCCGUGGUUAAUAAUCUGACUUGCCAAUGCAGGGGACGUGGGUUGGAACCCUAGGAAUCUGGGAAGAUUCCACACGCCACAGGGCUGCUGAGCCCCUGCUCAAAGACCACUGAGCCUGCAUGCCAAGAGCCUGUGCUCUGCAUCGAGAAGCCACCACGACGAGAAGCCCGAGCAUUGCGACUAGAAGGAACCUGAUCAUCAAAAAAACAAGAGAGUUCCAGAAAAACAUCUAUUUCUGCUUUAUUGACUAUGCCAAAGCCUUUGUGUGGAUCACAAUAAACUGUGGAAAAUUCUGAAAG